This is a long non-coding RNA of Orcinus orca (killer whale), 2221 nucleotides long. RefSeq lists it as uncharacterized. The record is from RefSeq and is a predicted model, not a curated record. The transcript has 4 exons. NCBI's taxonomy places the organism in Eukaryota, Metazoa, Chordata, Mammalia, Artiodactyla, Delphinidae.
GGGUGGGGGAAAGGGGAGGCUGGAGUCCCAUCUAAGCCUGCCUCUUGCCUCCCAGCUGCAAGAGCCACACUGGCACCGAAUACAAUAAAGGUCUUCUCCAUUUUCCAGAAGAGUGAACUGAGGCUUAACUGAGGCCCCUUUGUUCAACAUGGGCUUGAAGGCUACACCCAGGCUUCUCCUCUGUUACCUUCCGGACUACUAGGGGCCUCCCUCCCGCCUCCACUAGUCCAAAGUUCUGAGGGGAGGCCUGGAGAGACCAAUCUGAUGCCCCUCCUUAGAGAUGGGGAAACUGAGGCCCAGAGCCCAGGAGCAGGAAGCAAGGUCACUCAGCGAGCCAGGCACAGCGCCGGCCCGGGGUCCAGAGCUCUUCCGCGACCGGCCCCCACGCCCAGUCCAGCACGGUGCUGUCCGGUGGUCUCACCUCCAGCACCACGCGGCCGAGCGGCUGCCCGUCGGCGCCCACGUCCAGGUCUGUUCCAAGGAUAAAAUGAAGAGAGAGAGGAUUUGUCAGCUGUUAAGUACCGUGCCAUGAGCAUCAGUGAUGGACAGAGUCUAGAUGGUCUUUUUUUUUUUUUUAAACCUCUGAUUCUUUUGUGUGUGCUCAGCUGCGAAAUCAUUUCUACCUGUGCUGACCUCAGUGGCAUCAGGAGCAAGGACUGUCUCUGGGCUGAGCCAUGAACUGGAACAUGCCCAUCCCCAGGUGAGAUGGGGUAGGUGUCACCACUCAGCCUCUAUGGCUAUUUAUAGACUCUGUGUCAUCCUCAGAAACGGCAGUUUCUCUCCACUCAGCCCGAGUGGCUUCUUAUCCAGGGUGUUAAUGGAUUUCAUCACUCAGGGACCCUGUAAUGCCAUCUUUAGGCCUCACAGAGCCAAAGAACAGUCAGGACAUGCUGACAUCCAGGGGUUGCAAACUCAUAUACCGGUUGGGGCCAGGCAGAGACACACUGGGGUGAAGUGUGCUGGGCAAGGCUAUAGGGAAUACGUGGACGUGGGACUGUGUCCAAACACCACAAUUAAAGGGGCAGCUCCUGCCCAGGCCAGUCAAUUUUUGUAUGUGGACAAUGGGUCCAGUGUAGCCAGAUCUUUUCAUUUUUCAAUAAAAACUAAAAACACUAUGUUUGGUGGAAAUCUCCCAACUUUUAAAUUUGGGAACUCAUUUUAAAAUAAAAUUAAACCCUGAAUGAGCCCUAAACAACAUAUUUACAACCUAGCUAGGGCCUCUGAGCCAAUAGUUUAUAAGCUCUGAUCUCCACUGUGUAAAUGAGAGAACUGAAGCUCAGAGAGGGACAGAAGCUUGCCCAUGGUCACACAGCCUCAAAGUACUAGAACUGUGGUCAAACCCCUCUCUUCACACUUGCCAGGGCCCUUUCUACAAGAUUCACUCAGCAGACAUGUUUUCAGAGCACCUACUAAAUGCCGGGCCUGAGCCUUGCCCUCAGAUACAGAAUACCUCCGGCCUCUCCCAGGCUGCCUGUGUGCCGGGCAGGGGUGAAUGUUGUGGUCGCCAUAGGGUAUGAAGUUACAGGGGUCCUGAAGAGCCUUCCAGGAGGGGCUGGGAGUGAAGGAGGCCCUGCUGUGGUCAUGGGGUGGGGUUUUCAUGAACGAUCAAUGCCAGUGUCUGUCCCUGGGACAAUGUGCCUUAGGUAGGAGGCCUUGGACUCCAUUUCUCUUGGUUCCAUCUGGGGGACUGGGGUCCAGGAGAGCAUCUGUCAUGGGAAGCUGACAGGGAGCCCAGAAGAGAGGUUCUUGGGUGAGAACCCAAAAAGUGAACCAGAGCCUGCUAACAGGCCACCGUGAUCACGUCAUUCUCUGGGGGAAUUCCCCCGAGGCAUUCCCAGGCUUCUCAAAGUCAUUCUCAAUGCAUCAGCCUCCCUCUGCUGCUUCCAGGAAACAUGGGUGUGUCUGGUCCCGAGCAUGGUCUGAAGCAGAGCAUUGUGGGAGUCAGGAAGAGGUGAGCAGGGGAGGUUUCUCUCAAGGCCCAGGGUGGUGGUGGGCACAGUGAGCAGAGAGAGGCCUCAAGGGGGAGGUCUGGAGAAACUCCUCUUCAGAGUCCAGCUGGGCUUUAAAGGUCACCUGUGCAGGGCUUCCCCGGUGGGCGCAGUGGUUAAGAAUCCACCUGCCGCGAUGUAGGGGACACAGGUUCGAGCCCUGGCCCAGGAAGAUUCCCAUGUGCCGCGGAGCAACUAAGCCACAACUAGUGAGCCCACGUGCCAAAACUGCU